UACGAAGGGGGCUAGCGUUGCUCGGAAUCACUGGGCGUAAAGCGCACGUAGGCGGAUUGCUAAGUCAGGGGUGAAAUCCUGGAGCUCAACUCCAGAACUGCCUUUGAUACUGGCGACCUUGAGUCCGGGAGAGGUGGGUGGAACUGCGAGUGUAGAGGUGAAAUUCGUAGAUAUCGGGAGGAACACCAGUGGCGAAGGCGGCGAUCUGGGAACAUACUGACGCUGAGGUGCGAAAGCGUGGGGAGCAAACAGG
Molecule: ribosomal RNA, 253 nt
Filed under: uncultured bacterium
Lineage: Bacteria
Description: partial 16S ribosomal RNA
Rfam family: Bacterial small subunit ribosomal RNA
Source: RNAcentral